RNAcentral lists this ribosomal RNA (208 nucleotides) under Proteus mirabilis. RNAcentral's name for it is "partial 23S ribosomal RNA". It matches the Rfam family "Bacterial large subunit ribosomal RNA", at positions 568 to 778 of the family's 2925-position model. The record is from RNAcentral. Lineage: Bacteria; Pseudomonadati; Pseudomonadota; Gammaproteobacteria; Enterobacterales; Morganellaceae.
AAGCAGUAGGAGCCUCUUUAUGGGGUGACUGCGUACCUUUUGUAUAAUGGGUCAGCGACUUAUAUUCUGUAGCAAGGUUAACCGUAUAGGGGAGCCGUAGGGAAACCGAGUCUUAACUGGGCGAAUGAGUUGCAGGGUAUAGACCCGAAACCCGGUGAUCUAUCCAUGGGCAGGUUGAAGGUUGGGUAAAACUAACUGGAGGACCGAA